Molecule: ribosomal RNA, 229 nt
Filed under: uncultured bacterium
Lineage: Bacteria
Description: partial 16S ribosomal RNA
Rfam family: Bacterial small subunit ribosomal RNA
Source: RNAcentral
CACGUAGGCGGAACAGAAAGUGUCUUGUGAAAACCCCCGGCUUAACCGGGGAAUUGCUUGGCAAACUUCUGUUCUUGAGUCAAGUAGGGGUACAUGGAACUCUUAGUGGAGCGGUGGAAUGCGUAGAUAUUAAGAGGAACGCCAAUGGUGAAGACAGUGUACUGGGCUUGUACUGACGCUGAGGUGCGAAAGCGUGGGGAGCGAACAGGAUUAGAUACCCUGGUAGUCC